ACGGAAGGCAGCAGUGGGGAAUAUUGCACAAUGGGCGAAAGCCUGAUGCAGCGACGCCGCGUGAGUGAAGAAGUAUCUCGGUAUGUAAAGCUCUAUCAGCAGGGAAGAAAAUGACGGUACCUGACUAAGAAGCCCCGGCUAACUACGUGCCAGCAGCCGCGGUAAUACGUAGGGGGCAAGCGUUAUCCGGAUUUACUGGGUGUAAAGGGAGCGUAGACGGUUUGGCAAGUCUGAAGUGAAAUGCGGGGGCUCAACUCCUGAACUGCUUUGGAAACUGUCGAACUAGAGUGCAGGAGAGGUAAGUGGAAUUCCUAGUGUAGCGGUGAAAUGAGUAGAUAUUAGGAGGAACACCAGUGGCGAAGGCGGCUUACUGGACUGUAACUGACGUUGAGGCUCGAAAGCGUGGGGAGCAAACAGGAUUAGAUACCCUGGUA
RNAcentral lists this ribosomal RNA (434 nucleotides) under uncultured Lachnospiraceae bacterium. Its description in RNAcentral is "partial 16S ribosomal RNA". It matches the Rfam family "Bacterial small subunit ribosomal RNA", at positions 341 to 792 of the family's 1533-position model. Lineage: Bacteria; Bacillati; Bacillota; Clostridia; Lachnospirales; Lachnospiraceae. The record is from RNAcentral.